GACGAACGCUGGCGGCGUGCUUAACACAUGCAAGUCGAACGGAAAGGCCCUGCUUGCAGGGUACUCGAGUGGCGAACGGGUGAGUAACACGUGGGUGAUCUGCCCUGCACUUCGGGAUAAGCCUGGGAAACUGGGUCUAAUACCGGAUAGGAGCCAUUUUUAGUGUGAUGGUUGGAAAGUUUUUUCGGUGUAGGAUGAGCUCGCGGCCUAUCAGCUUGUUGGUGGGGUAAUGGCCUACCAAGGCGGCGACGGGUAGCCGGCCUGCGAGGGUGGACGGCCACAUUGGGACUGAGAUACGGCCCAGACUCCUACGGGAGGCAGCAGUGGGGAAUAUUGCACAAUGGGCGCAAGCCUGAUGCAGCGACGCCGCGGGGGGGAUGACGGCCUUCGGGUUGUAAACUCCUUUCGCUAGGGACGAAGCUUUUUGUGACGGUACCUAGAGAAGAAGCACCGGCUAACUACGUG
RNAcentral lists this ribosomal RNA (465 nucleotides) under uncultured bacterium. RNAcentral's name for it is "partial 16S ribosomal RNA". It matches the Rfam family "Bacterial small subunit ribosomal RNA", at positions 28 to 507 of the family's 1533-position model. The record is from RNAcentral.